Molecule: ribosomal RNA, 128 nt
Filed under: Erinaceus europaeus (western European hedgehog)
Lineage: Eukaryota; Metazoa; Chordata; Mammalia; Eulipotyphla; Erinaceidae
Source: RNAcentral
GUCUUUGACUAUAUCAUCCUUAACAAACUCCAUUUCAUUUGAUCUUGGAAGCUAAGCAGGGUCAGACUUGGCUAGCACUUGGAUGGUAGAAAUGGAACAGAAGGAGGGCAGUAAAAGUAUAAAUGACC